UCUCUAUCCGAUAGUGUCAUAUUCAAUAAUUAAUCUCAUUGAGGAUUUUAUUUUGCUCCAGGCGAGGUGAAGCGUGAUAGGAGGUGGGUAGAAACGCUAAUACAAGCUUGUUAGGAGGCCAAGUGCUCCAAAUUUUAAGCGCCCACUGGUGCAUUGAUCAUUAUUUUUAUAACGGCCUGUAUUGUGGUUAAAAUAUGUAUGUGUGCAUGCAUGUUAAUGCAGGGGCCUCUGGGGUCGCUAGUAAUUCGAUCCCGAGAACAACUCGCCUUUCAUUUCGCCUUCAGUAAAAUUAUUUAGCGGGAGGAAAUAAAUUUUGCCACGCUGAACCAAAAUAUUGCGAAAUGCCGUGGCAUGAAGCGCUUUUCACAGCCGUGUUAAAAAUAAAUGGAAUAUUUCCCGGGCUUCCAAGACGCUGCUGGGAGACUGUUGCUGAGAUGCCACGUCGGCUCAUUUCUCAGCGCCUGCUCUCUCCCGGGCUAGCCAUUCCAGCAGGCAGAAUGUCAGCAUUUGCAACCGGGUGUUUUUUUUGCAGUGGAAAUAUCGCAUGGACGUGACUUCUGACAAAUGCAGAGAGGGAGAGAAAGAGAGAUGGCGGGGGGAGAGAGUCUGGGAAACACACCACUGGUAUCAGCCCUCUCUGUCUCCCAACUAUUUAAUAAAUGGAACCGGAGCUGAACUGUGAUGCCGGAUAUUUCUAACACAAUCGGCCAAUUCUGAUAAUCGGACUCCCCAGGGCGUGUGUGUGUGGGUUGGGAUUGGUGGGGGUCUUGGUAACAGUGCCUCUGUUUUCAAUUUCCAUGCGCGCUGGGAUAUGUUUUCUGUCCGACAUGUUCUAUAUCCCUAUCCUCUAGCGUUGUGCACGGCCAGAGACUGGGUUCCAAAAAUGCGUCCACACGGUCUGUUUUUAAUCAACCAGCGUUGGAAAGAAUAUAUUAAUCCAGCUAACUCCCCUCUUCCAGUCCUCCAUGUAACAAGAAAUCUCGUGUAUUUGAUGCAAGCGAGGAAAAGAUCUUCUUACAACCACCCCUCACUGGUGGCCAUCGACUGUCACCUCACCAGGCUCAGCAUCAAAGAACAAAGUGCUGGAGGAACUCAGAGGGUCAAGUAGCAUCUGUGGAGGGACUAAGCAGACAACCUUCCGAGUCGGGACAUGUGCACUUUCUUGCGUCAGCUUCAAAGUGUGCUUGAUAAAACACCUCUGAAGCCUCGGUUCUCUUUCUGCUUCUAAACCAUUGAAUGGGUUUCGGGAUGGGAAUGGGACUUGCUGUCAUUCUCUAUGUGGUUAUAUUAAAAAUCAUUUUUAAUUGAA
Long non-coding RNA from Amblyraja radiata (thorny skate), 1309 nucleotides. RefSeq lists it as uncharacterized. The record is from RefSeq and is a predicted model, not a curated record. The transcript has 2 exons. NCBI's taxonomy places the organism in Eukaryota, Metazoa, Chordata, Chondrichthyes, Rajiformes, Rajidae.